CGAGGUGGAAGUGUGGUGACACAUGGAGCUGACGAAUACUAAUCGAUCGAGGACUUAACCAAA
Molecule: ribosomal RNA, 63 nt
Filed under: Lysinibacillus halotolerans
Lineage: Bacteria; Bacillati; Bacillota; Bacilli; Caryophanales; Bacillaceae
Description: partial 23S ribosomal RNA
Source: RNAcentral